RNAcentral lists this ribosomal RNA (442 nucleotides) under uncultured bacterium. RNAcentral describes it as "partial 16S ribosomal RNA". It matches the Rfam family "Bacterial small subunit ribosomal RNA", at positions 338 to 795 of the family's 1533-position model. The record is from RNAcentral.
CCUACGGGCGGCAGCAGUGGGGAAUAUUGGGCAAUGGAGGCAACUCUGACCCAGCAACGCCGCGUGAAUGAUGAAGGUCUUCGGAUUGUAAACUUCUUUUAAGGGGGAAGAGCAGAAGACGGUACCCCUUGAAUAAGCCACGGCUAACUACGUGCCAGCAGCCGCGGUAAUACGUAGGUGGCAAGCGUUGUCCGGAUUUACUGGGUGUAAAGGGCGUGCAGCCGGAGAGACAAGUCAGUUGUGAAAUCCACGGGCUCAACCCGUGAACUGCAUUUGACACUGUUUCCCUUGAGUGUCGGAGAGGUAAUCGGAAUUCCUAGUGUAGCGGUGAAAUGCGUAGAUAUUAGGAAGAACACCAGUGGCGAAGGCGGAUUACUGGACGAUAACUGACGGUGAGGCGCGAAAGCGUGGGGAGCAAACAGGAUUAGAUACCCGUGUAGUC